This 300-nucleotide ribosomal RNA is filed under the name uncultured bacterium. RNAcentral describes it as "bacterial SSU rRNA". It matches the Rfam family "Bacterial small subunit ribosomal RNA", at positions 114 to 415 of the family's 1533-position model. The record is from RNAcentral.
CGCGUAUGCAACCUACCUAUAUCAGGGGGAUAGCCCGGAGAAAUUCGGAUUAAUACCCCAUAAUACCACUAACUCACAUGGGUUUAUGGUUAAAGAACUUCGGAUAUAGAUGGGCAUGCGUUAGAUUAGUUAGAUGGUGAGGUAACGGCUCACCAUGACUUUGAUCUAUAGGGGUUCUGAGAGGAAGGUCCCCCACACUGGCACUGAGAUACGGGCCAGACUCCUACGGGAGGCAGCAGUAGGGAAUAUUGGGCAAUGGACGCAAGUCUGACCCAGCCAUGCCUCGUGCAGGAUGACGGU